UACGGAGGGAGCUAGCGUUGUUCGGAAUUACUGGGCGUAAAGCGCGCGUAGGCGGCUUUGUAAGUUAGAGGUGAAAGCCCGGGGCUCAACCCCGGAAUUGCCCUUAAGACUGCAUCGCUUGAAUCCGGAAGAGGUGAGUGGAAUUCCGAGUGUAGAGGUGAAAUUCGUAGAUAUUCGGAAGAACACCAGUGGCGAAGGCGGCUCACUGGACCGGCAUUGACGCUGAGGUGCGAAAGCGUGGGGAGCAAACAGG
Molecule: ribosomal RNA, 253 nt
Filed under: uncultured bacterium
Lineage: Bacteria
Description: partial 16S ribosomal RNA
Rfam family: Bacterial small subunit ribosomal RNA
Source: RNAcentral